UGAUAAAUCUUCCCCUAUGUAACUAUGUUCUUUAUGAUACACAUUUGCCGCAUAACCAGAUGACUGUGGACAAUAGCUGAAAAAACGAGUCUGCUCAGAGGAGGCACUACGUGGAUGAUGAUGGACUGCCAAGUAACCCAUUAUGGCCCACAUCACUUCUCCACUCAAGAAGGAUUUAGCAAUAUCCCAGACUAUCUGGUCCGGUGAAGUAUCCCAAUUAAAAGGAAUGAACUCUUCUAAAUGCUCCUCUAUAACCUCAAUAUCAAUUAGCUCCAACCAAUAUGGAUUUAU
Hyla sarda is the source of this 291-nucleotide long non-coding RNA. RefSeq lists it as uncharacterized. The record is from RefSeq and is a predicted model, not a curated record. Lineage: Eukaryota; Metazoa; Chordata; Amphibia; Anura; Hylidae. The transcript is spliced from 3 exons.